RNAcentral lists this transfer RNA (74 nucleotides) under Cronartium ribicola 11-2. RNAcentral describes it as "tRNA-Thr (AGT) (tRNA-Thr-AGT-5-1)". It matches the Rfam family "tRNA". Rfam says of the family: Transfer RNA (tRNA) molecules are approximately 80 nucleotides in length. Their secondary structure includes four short double-helical elements and three loops (D, anti-codon, and T loops). Further hydrogen bonds mediate the characteristic L-shaped molecular structure. tRNAs have two regions of fundamental functional importance: the anti-codon, which is responsible for specific mRNA codon recognition, and the 3' end, to which the tRNAs corresponding amino acid is attached (by aminoacyl-tRNA synthetases). tRNAs cope with the degeneracy of the genetic code in two manners: having more than one tRNA (with a specific anti-codon) for a particular amino acid; and 'wobble' base-pairing, i.e. permitting non-standard base-pairing at the 3rd anti-codon position. The record is from RNAcentral. Lineage: Eukaryota; Fungi; Basidiomycota; Pucciniomycetes; Pucciniales; Coleosporiaceae.
GUGUCUGUAGCCUAGUGGUCAAAGGCAGCACUCCAGUAAUGUUGAGGUCGUGGGUUCAAAUCCCACCAGACACA